ACCGAAGUUACGAUAAUACGUUUGUCAUAUUUUAAAGCGAAGUUGAGUACUUUAAAGACGAAAAAGCGGUGAUCGGUAAUAUAAACAACUGUGGAUUGUCCAGAGAGUGUGAUUUUAUGCAAGAGUUCAUGGAUUUAGAGGAGUUUUUAGAUGC
RNAcentral lists this unclassified non-coding RNA (154 nucleotides) under Dendronephthya gigantea. RNAcentral describes it as "protein giant-like, transcript variant X1". The record is from RNAcentral. Lineage: Eukaryota; Metazoa; Cnidaria; Anthozoa; Malacalcyonacea; Nephtheidae.